Long non-coding RNA from Zophobas morio, 294 nucleotides. RefSeq lists it as uncharacterized. The transcript has 4 exons. NCBI's taxonomy places the organism in Eukaryota, Metazoa, Arthropoda, Insecta, Coleoptera, Tenebrionidae. The record is from RefSeq and is a predicted model, not a curated record.
AGUGUUCUUUAAUAAGCAACAAGGAAACGAUGUACCAACUUUUUCUAGUUUUCAGUAAUUAUCUCAAUACUUACCUUGUAAAAGUUCUUCGAGGCACAAUUCCCUACCGGAAUUCCCUUUUGACUGCUCUUCCAAUAAAUAAACUUUCAUUUCAAGACUUUUAUUAUAUUUGCUCGUUGUUGAACACUGCAGAUUAUAUCAUUGAGAUGCUCCAGCAGCUGGAAAUAAAGUUUAAAGAAAAAAUUGAUAAAGUUUAUGUUGAAAAAAUUAACUUAACAAAAACUUCCGAAGUCG